RNAcentral lists this long non-coding RNA (861 nucleotides) under Erythranthe guttata (spotted monkey flower). RNAcentral's name for it is "long non-coding RNA (EGUT_LNC002413)". The record is from RNAcentral. Lineage: Eukaryota; Viridiplantae; Streptophyta; Magnoliopsida; Lamiales; Phrymaceae.
ACGGAGGGAGUACCAUAUUUUAUAGAUGUUUUACAAUUUUUUCUUAGAUUAAUACCACAAAUAAUUUUUUUAUUAGCAAAGUACUAAAAUAUCCCUCAUCAAACAAAAUACAAUUUAUUCAAACAAAUAUUCUUUUCCCCAUUUCAAUACCAAAGAUUGAAAAAAAAAAAACUCUCUUCUUCUCCCCAAACCCAAACCCAUUAAACCCUCUCUUCGUCUUCAUCUUCUUACAAAACCCUCAAAAAAAUCUUAAAAUUCAAAACAAUCAAAACCUCACAAAGCAUAUAAAAUAGAGUCACAAGACAACAAAAUGGUAAUUUACAUAGAAGAAAAAUCCAUUAAAGUAUGUAUCCAUGUCUUUUUGAGCUUGAAAGUCGAUUUUUGAAUUUUUUUUAACCCUUCGACAGUUUUCGACACAUAGAAGUUGAUUUUUUUGUCAAUUUUCGACACCAACUUGUCAAACAAUAUUAAAAAAAAAAAGUGAAUUUCGAUGCAUACAUGUCGUAAUUUCUCAAAAUUUCGCCAUGUAUGUGUUGAAAAAUCACUACUGCAAUUUAUAUAUAUAUAUAUAUAUAUAUAUAUAUAUAUAUGUGUGUGUGUGUGUGUGUGUGUGUGUGUGUGUGUGUGUGUGUCGAAAUUCACUCUUUUUUUUUUUAUAUUUUCGACAAGUUGGUGUCGAAAAAUUGACAAAAAUUCGAUCUGUAUGUGUCGAAAAACUAUCGACGAGGUUAAAAAACAAAGAACUUCAAAAUCGACUUCCAAGCUUAAAAAAAGAUAUGAAUUCAUACCUUAAUGGGUUCUCCUUGGUCGUAACUACCAUUUUGGUGUCAUUUGACUCCAUUUUGCGAGUUGUGUGAGCUU